UGAUGAAAUCCCCCUAUGGCCUGU
This 24-nucleotide microRNA is filed under the name Gallus gallus (chicken). RNAcentral's name for it is "gga-miR-10585-5p". Lineage: Eukaryota; Metazoa; Chordata; Aves; Galliformes; Phasianidae. The record is from miRBase by way of RNAcentral.